CCCUUAGAUGUUCGGGGCCGCACGCGCGCUACACUGAAGGAAUCAGCACGUCUUUCUCCUUGUCCGAAAGGACUGGGUAACCCGCUGAACCUCCUUCGUGCUAGGGAUUGGGGCUUGUAAUUCUUCCCCAUGAACGAGGAAUUCCCAGUAAGCGCAAGUCAUCAGCUUGUGUUGAUUACGUCCCUGCCCUUUGUACACACCGCCCGUCGCUACUACCGAUUGAAUGGUUUAGUGAGACCCUCGGAUUCGUCCCAGCACAGUGGGUUUCUGCUGAGCUGGUGCGCGGAGAAGACGGUCGAACUUGAUCAUUUAGAGGAAGUAAAAGUCGUAACA
This 333-nucleotide ribosomal RNA is filed under the name uncultured eukaryote. RNAcentral describes it as "partial 18S ribosomal RNA". It matches the Rfam family "Eukaryotic small subunit ribosomal RNA", at positions 1470 to 1796 of the family's 1831-position model. The record is from RNAcentral.